GGAAGAUAACCACACCUCUAGUGCUUCUAUUGGGUUAUCAACUGAUGACGUACAGAGAGUCUGGCCCUUUAAAAGUUAAGACAAAGGGAAGAUAGAGAUAGGAGGCAGAUGCAAGAGAUGCAAAGGAGAGGAGAGAGGAAUUGGAAGUUUGGGGACUCCAACCUCCAUGCAGAGAGACAUCCAAAUAAGUUCCUGAGACUAUCUACC
Molecule: non-coding RNA, 207 nt
Organism: Pelobates cultripes (western spadefoot toad)
Lineage: Eukaryota; Metazoa; Chordata; Amphibia; Anura; Pelobatidae
Source: the annotation of a GenBank genome assembly